GGGGAAUAUUGCACAAUGGGCGCAAGCCUGAUGCAGCCAUGCCGCGUGUGUGAAGAAGGCCUUCGGGUUGUAAAGCACUUUCAGCGGGGAGGAAGGCGGUGAGGUUAAUAACCUCAUCGAUUGACGUUACCCGCAGAAGAAGCACCGGCUAACUACGUGCCAGCAGCCGCGGUAAUACGUAGGGGGCAAGCGUUGUCCGGAAUUAUUGGGCGUAAAGCGCACGCAGGCGGUCUGUCAAGUCGGAUGUGAAAUCCCCGGGCUCAACCUGGGAACUGCAUUCGAAACUGGCAGGCUAGAGUCUUGUAGAGGGGGGUAGAAUUCCAGGUGUAGCGGUGAAAUGCGUAGAGAUCUGGGGGAAUACCGGUGGCGAAGGCGGCCCCCUGGACAAAGACUGACGCUCAGGUGCGAAAGCGUGGGGAGCAAAC
RNAcentral lists this ribosomal RNA (425 nucleotides) under uncultured bacterium. RNAcentral's name for it is "bacterial SSU rRNA". It matches the Rfam family "Bacterial small subunit ribosomal RNA", at positions 356 to 773 of the family's 1533-position model. The record is from RNAcentral.